AACCAAGAAAACGCCUUCAGUUUCAAAAUGCGACCAUGAAUCAGCUCAACUAUCAUUCCCCAUAUUCUAAUUUUAGAUCAAAAAGAAAACAGAUAACACACUUGUGGUGCGUGAAACGUUUUCCUCUCUCACACGACGGAUCAAAGCCUGAUCGAAUCUGCGGUCACUACUAAUCAAAUCGGCUUCGUCCAACCUCAACAAAGUGAAAUUCCCCGCCUUUCACUUUCUUGUGUGCGUCGAAUUAAAGAAAGCGGAAUGAAUAUGAAGCGAGGGAGAUUACCGGUUUGGCGUUCGUCGCGAAAAUCCUAAGUUCAGAUCUCCAUCAUCAUGCGUUACGCUUCCGUGUUCAUUGUUGUCGUUGUUCGAUUUCGGAUCAUUGCAUGGCGGUUGAUGAAAGUCAGAUUAUUAUUGUCGUCGCGUGGAGACGAAGUUGAAGACACGUCAAUCGAUGAUUGAUAAUGAAGUGUUGGCGUUGAAGAAUCCGGGAGUUCUCUCAUGGUAAAACGCUGUCGAUGAACGACGAAGAAUUGAGUCGUCCCAAUCGUUAUUCUUCAACUCGCGAUUAAAAGGUGGAUCAAGUGGUUUUUUAUUGUGGAAAGAUGUUCUCUUGGACAAUGCUUCGAAUGAAUUUGAGCUUGCUUAGUAUGGAGUCUUGGAUUUAUCAUGGAGCCAUUAUGCUGUUGUAAUUGGAUUGGAUUUUAUUGAAUGUAGUAGCUAUGUUCGUAAUGGAGUUAAAUGGUUGUAACUUGUGAAUGAACCAUGGUUUAUCAUUAUAUAUGGGAAUGUAGAGAUUGUAAUGCUUGGGUUGUAAUUUCCAUGAGGGGGAUAUAUAUUGUAGAAGCUGUGGCCAGAUUUAUCACGGACAUUUUGCUUUUGGUUUUACAGGCGAGAGAUGCCAUGAAUGUACCGUGGUAGUUGAAAGUUAUGGUUGACAUUAAGAAGGAGAUGCUUUAGUGUAAAGCUUUGGAUUAAUGAGUCAUGUUCACUCUCUCGUGGAUGUACUUGUUUUACGGUGUCCUAAGAUGUGCAAAGUAGCAUUACUGAUUUUUGUAUUUAGAAUUUCGUGUUUAUGUGUGUUCAGUAUUUAUGGUUCUAUAUUACAUGUCCACCUAUCAUAAGUUCCCCGUGGACUUCACACAAGAACCCAUACUGUGAAGGCUGUGGCAGAGAUUAUCAUAGACAUGGUUUUCCUUGUGUUACUAGGCUGAGAGGCUUUGAAUGUACCAUGGGAUUUGAAAGCUAUCACAAACAUUAUUAAAGACAUGCUUUCUAGCCUUUGGAUUUAAUGCGGGUCUUUUUUCUUCUAGUGUAAUUUGACAACGUUAAUUUUUGUGUUUAGAAUUUGACUGUCGUUUUUUUGCAGUACAUCUCAAUCUCUUUCUUGGAUCAUUGAACAAAUGCUUGGGGAUAUACUUCAUACGAUGGACAAGAGAGUCCUGAUAUGUCAGAUUUCUUCAAUGAUCUAUCCUUUACUAUUUUUAUUUUUGGGCUCUGUUUAUAGAACACAAACUGAAUUGCAAACCUAAUUUUCUGCCGCAUUUGUUCUUCUUGGCAUAGAGCCUCGUCUUUGAUUUGAUGACCUAUAGUAAAUUCUUCUUGUUUUAGUAGUAAAUUCUUCUUGUUUUAGUAUUUCUAUAUUGGUUAUGAGAGCUUACUUUUCUUGAUUUGUUAUUUUCCUUUGUUAUUGCAGAAGAGGUAUUUUCCUUGGUUUUGUCUUCCUCUUUUUUCCUUGGUUAUAAGUUUAUGCUUAAAUAUAAAUUUUCAAUUCUUUUAGAUUAUUUGUUUAACAUUUUUGAUGUUGUUGGCAGAGUAAAUGUUACAUGGGCAAGGACAUGUGAACCAUAAUGAUAUGUCGAUGUGUUUUAGUUUGGUGACUCUACUCAGAUUAGGAACUCUUUACGGUUCAGUAUUUUUGUUUUCAUCAUACACAUUCCUAUCAUCUUUGGGAUAAAAUUAUGCAUUUUCUAUGAUACACAAUUCUUCCAGUUUUGUAUUUUUGUUUCAUCAUACACAUUCCUAUCAUCUUUGGGAUAAAAUUAUGCAUUUUCUAUGAUACACAAUUCUUCCAGUUUUGUAUUUUUGUUUCACCAUAUUCGUAACAUGAAUUUUACUCUGGUUUAGAGCAUACAAGAUUCUAGGGAAACUCUGUCCUUCCUAAAAUGAGGAAAUUUUAGGAGUUGUUUGUUUCGGUGAUUGGGACAAGUUGGUUAGGUUGAAGCUUAAAUUGUGACAUUUCAUAUUAAGUACAAGAUCUUGUAGAUUGGAUGGAAGUCUAAUUGAUUGUGUUCUUAUGCUUUAAUUUGGGGAGAGUCUAUGAAUUUGCGGUGUUCUGUGGCCUGGGGUAAGAAGCAGAGGUUAGCAUACUGUCCAUUGAACCUUGGGAUAAAUCGAGUCGCUUUCUUACAAUGUGUUUGUUUUGGGAUUGGGAAUAUUUGUCCUCUUCCUGUUAGUAUUGGAGUUUGUGUUUUUUGUACCAGGAACCGGUAGUAUUGCAGUUUGUGAUUUUUGUAAGAAUCUCCUCUGCUAAAUUGAGCCCUGUUUAGUAAACGGCGUGACGAGCCUUUCGUCAUGGUUGACUUAGUUCUUCAUUUAGUUCCGAGAUUGUUAACUGAUACUUAUUUGGUUAUGUCAUAUAAUGUGAUUCAACAGCAGUCUCCCGUCUUUAAAAUGCCAUUGGUAAAGGAAAAGGUCAAAAUUAUCUCAUAUCUAUAUUAUCUCAUUUCAUAUAUUUUUAUGUCUAAGUGCUGGUAAAAAAUGAGAGUCUAUUAAGCUGCCUUUUUUUUUACUAGAUAUCUGUCCGUCUAUUAAACUGCUUUUUUUCAUAUAAUGUCAUAUAAUGUGAUACUUAUUUGGUUAUGUCAUAUAAUGUGAUUCAACAGCAGUCUCCCGUCUUUAAAAUGCCAUUGGUAAAGGAAAAGGUCAAAAUUAUCUCAUAUCUAUAUUAUCUCAUUUCAUAUAUUUUUAUGUCUUAGUGGAGUAUUAAGUGCUGGUAAAAAAUGAGAGUCUAUUAAACUGCCUUUUUUUUUACUAGAUAUCUGUCCGUCUAUUAAACUGCUUUUUUUCCUAGUUCUCGUCUUCUAUUAUGUGGUUAUACACACCAUUGUGAUUUG
Long non-coding RNA from Lathyrus oleraceus (garden pea), 3110 nucleotides. RefSeq lists it as uncharacterized. The record is from RefSeq and is a predicted model, not a curated record. NCBI's taxonomy places the organism in Eukaryota, Viridiplantae, Streptophyta, Magnoliopsida, Fabales, Fabaceae. The transcript is spliced from 5 exons.